Molecule: long non-coding RNA, 1954 nt
Filed under: Homo sapiens (human)
Lineage: Eukaryota; Metazoa; Chordata; Mammalia; Primates; Hominidae
Description: HSALNT0294417
Source: RNAcentral
UCAAUCUCCCUUCUGUCUUGCAUGCUCUUAUUACAAAGUGAGUUUCAUCCUCCUGCUAUCAAAUGUGUGGUUUUGACCUGGAAAAGGAAAGGUGAGAAGGUCUUUAUUUCCUGUUCUUGAAUCUGGGAAGGCUCUGAGACUUAUGAGGCUAAUGCAUAAAUAGUUUAAAGAAUUUUAGCUGAUUCUCCUAAUACACUCGCUAUUGAGAUGCAGUCACUAUGCUGUGAGGAAGCCCAUGUAACAAUGUGGAGAUUCUGAAGUGAGUUCUGGGUUCUAAGCCAACAGCCUAAAUACUUUAGGUCCAUUAUUUAGGUCCAAGUUCAACCACUAGACCUGUACUUCGCAAGCCUUCAGAGGAUUCCUGCUUUCAGCCCGCAAGCUUUUUCAGCUGAAGCCCCCAGUAUCAUGGAACAGAAUCAGAUUAUUUCCACUGAGUCCUUUUCAAUUUCUUAACCCACAGGAUUUAUGAGCAUUAUGAAGUCAUUAUGGCUUUCUGCCACUAGGCUGAGAGUGGACCACAUAUACAGAAAUAAAAAACUAUUAAUAGAAAAAUAUAUUGCAAACAUCUAAUCCUCAAACCCCAUUCAAGUUUUGCCAACUACCCUCCAUCCUAUCAAAUAUUCCUUAUACCAAAAAGAUCCAGUUCAAAAAUAAGUGUUGCAUUUAUUUUUUAACCUCUUUUGAUCUGGAAUAGCUCCUCACACCGUCUUUCAUGACUUUAGUGCUUUGGAAGACUACAGAUGUUUAGGCUCAUCUGAAAUUUCCCUGCCGUCACCUGGGAAUCAACCAUUUCUUCAGGGAGUCCUAGUUUCUUUUAGCGUAUAGCCACCAAUUUCUACUGAGUAUUUAUCUACUAUAUGGCAGGUCAAGUCUGCAUUCUGGGAUAAAGUGUUGACACAAUCUUGAAUCAGUGCCUAAGGAGUUCACAAGUCCAGAGAGGGGAUAGCGCAUAGAUAAGAGAGCUGAAGAAGAGUGAAAAUAAAGAAACUUCUGCAAAGCCACACAUGUAAUAGGAAGCAAGGGACAACAGAAGCCUAGAAUUCCUGGUGAGCCAGAUUUCCAAGGCUCAAGAAAGCCAUCCAAGGAAAAUAGAAUCUCUCCUGUGCAUGCUCCUCAUUGCACUGCUGCUGAAGGACCCCAGAAAGCACUCCCCUCUGAGUUAUAUGCCCUGGGGAUAAUUGGCAUUGCUGGACUGAAGUUUGGCAGGACAUCCUGUUCCAGAAGGAAGCAGAACAGAGUACAGCCUGCUGUGGACAGUUCCUUUUUGUCUCAGGAUGCUUCAUUCGCAGCAUAUUCUACAAUUAUUCUGAGAGCUACAAGCAAGAAAGACGAGGGAGAACUGGGUUAGCUAAGAAAUAUAUUUCUGGCAACAGUGGAGAAGAAUGAUAGGAAGAGAAUCAUACUGGAAUAGUAUAGUCCUUUGGAAUGUUGUUGUAAUGAAGGCAAGAAGAAAAAUGAUCUUGAAGGCAAGAAGAAAAAUCAUAUUGAAGGAAAGGAGAGAUGAGUUUACCAAAUAUAAUCUCAGAAUUGUUCUGUAAAUUUCAUUUCUGCUUUAGCAGCCAUAAAGAGCUCCAUUUAUUACAGUAGGAACAGAGGCAACAGCAACAUGGGUGGCUGGCAGUGAUAGAAAGGAUUUUAGUUUUGAUACAUGGAAUUUGACAUGCUUUUUGAAAAUCUUCAGAUGGUGAUGUACAAACUACUGCAGGAACAUAUGAGGAAAGAUGAGAGAAUCCACAGACUCUUUGAAGGAAGCAGAUUGCUCCUGCAGGGCCUGGGAGACAACCAAACACUGGGUCCUUAGGGAGAGGUGCCAGAGGAAUUGGAAAAAGGCCACAGGCAGAAGGAAGGCUCCAGCUAAACUUGAUUGACCCAUCAUUUGGAUGACCCGAAACCACAGAUGCAAUAGAAGAAUGGAACAAAUUUGUACAUUUUGUCAAUAAAAACUUUAUCUUCA